UAAGGACUCCAUUGAAAGAAAUUUGACAACAAAACAGCCUAAGGAGUCUUCAACUAAUAAGUUUCUGACUCAUAAUUCAAUUUCCAUGAAAUUUGACUUGCCAUCCACCAAAUACUAAAAUGAAAGGCUCGCCCCAUCAGAUUCCCUUAAUAAUACACCUUCUUCAUACUCCCAUUCCAGUGCACCAGUGCUGCUACCUGAUACAUCCAAUAUAAUAUUACCAACUUUGAAGAAAAUAUUUUUAGCAGUUGCUUGAAAAUUGACAACCCAACUAGCCCCCCCCCCCCCC
This 289-nucleotide long non-coding RNA is filed under the name Nicotiana benthamiana. RNAcentral describes it as "long non-coding RNA (NBEN_LNC032641)". Lineage: Eukaryota; Viridiplantae; Streptophyta; Magnoliopsida; Solanales; Solanaceae. The record is from RNAcentral.